AGUUCUCGUUGAUGAUCGGUGCUUGCACUGAGAUUCAACAUCCAAUGAGUGGCGGACGGGUGAGUAACACGUGGGUAACCUGCCCCUUAGUGGGGGAUAACAUUUGGAAACAGAUGCUAAUACCGCAUAGAUCCAAGAACCGCAUGGUUCUUGGCUGAAAGAUGGCGUAAGCUAUCGCUUUUGGAUGGACCCGCGGCGUAUUAGCUAGUUGGUGAGGUAAUGGCUCACCAAGGCGAUGAUACGUAGCCGAACUGAGAGGUUGAUCGGCCACAUUGGGACUGAGACACGGCCCAAACUCCUACGGGAGGCAGCAGUAGGGAAUCUUCCACAAUGGACGCAAGUCUGAUGGAGCAACGCCGCGUGAGUGAAGAAGGCUUUCGGGUCGUAAAACUCUGUUGUUGGAGAAGAAUGGUCGGCAGAGUAACUGUUGUCGGCGUGACGGUAUCCAACCAGAAAGCCACGGCUAACUACGUGCCAGCAGCCGCGGUAAUACGUAGGUGGCAAGCGUUAUCCGGAUUUAUUGGGCGUAAAGCGAGCGCAGGCGGUUUUUUAAGUCUGAUGUGAAAGCCCUCGGCUUAACCGAGGAAGCGCAUCGGAAACUGGGAAACUUGAGUGCAGAAGAGGACAGUGGAACUCCAUGUGUAGCGGUGAAAUGCGUAGAUAUAUGGAAGAACACCAGUGGCGAAGGCGGCUGUCUGGUCUGUAACUGACGCUGAGGCUCGAAAGCAUGGGUAGCGAACAGGAUUAGAUACCCUGGUAGUCCAUGCCGUAAACGAUGAAUGCUAGGUGUUGGAGGGUUUCCGCC
This 805-nucleotide ribosomal RNA is filed under the name uncultured bacterium. RNAcentral's name for it is "bacterial SSU rRNA". It matches the Rfam family "Bacterial small subunit ribosomal RNA", at positions 60 to 838 of the family's 1533-position model. The record is from RNAcentral.